Molecule: ribosomal RNA, 253 nt
Filed under: uncultured bacterium
Lineage: Bacteria
Description: partial 16S ribosomal RNA
Rfam family: Bacterial small subunit ribosomal RNA
Source: RNAcentral
UACGGAGGAUGCAAGCGUUAUCCGGAAUGAUUGGGCGUAAAGCGUCCGCAGGUGGCUAUGUAAGUCUGCUGUCAAAGCGUCUGGCUCAACCAGAUAAAGGCAGUGGAAACUACAUAGCUAGAGUAAGGUAGGGGUAGAGGGAAUUCCUGGUGUAGCGGUGAAAUGCGUAGAGAUCAGGAAGAACACCGGUGGCGAAAGCGCUCUGCUGGACCGUAACUGACACUGAGGGACGAAAGCUAGGGGAGCGAAUGGG